This 2905-nucleotide ribosomal RNA is filed under the name Klebsiella variicola. RNAcentral's name for it is "23S ribosomal RNA". It matches the Rfam family "Bacterial large subunit ribosomal RNA". Lineage: Bacteria; Pseudomonadati; Pseudomonadota; Gammaproteobacteria; Enterobacterales; Enterobacteriaceae. The record is from RNAcentral.
GGUUAAGCGACUAAGCGUACACGGUGGAUGCCCUGGCAGUCAGAGGCGAUGAAGGACGUGCUAAUCUGCGAAAAGCGUCGGUAAGGUGAUAUGAACCGUUAUAACCGGCGAUGUCCGAAUGGGGAAACCCAGUGCAAUUCGUUGCACUAUCGUUAACUGAAUACAUAGGUUAACGAGGCGAACCGGGGGAACUGAAACAUCUAAGUACCCCGAGGAAAAGAAAUCAACCGAGAUUCCCCCAGUAGCGGCGAGCGAACGGGGAGCAGCCCAGAGUCUGAAUCAGCUUGUGUGUUAGUGGAACGGUCUGGAAAGUCCGACGGUACAGGGUGAUAGUCCCGUACACCAAAAUGCACAGGUUGUGAACUCGAAGAGUAGGGCGGGACACGUGGUAUCCUGUCUGAAUAUGGGGGGACCAUCCUCCAAGGCUAAAUACUCCUGACUGACCGAUAGUGAACCAGUACCGUGAGGGAAAGGCGAAAAGAACCCCGGCGAGGGGAGUGAAAAAGAACCUGAAACCGUGUACGUACAAGCAGUGGGAGCACCUUUAUGGUGUGACUGCGUACCUUUUGUAUAAUGGGUCAGCGACUUAUAUUCUGUAGCAAGGUUAACCGUAUAGGGGAGCCGCAGGGAAACCGAGUCUUAACUGGGCGUUAAGUUGCAGGGUAUAGACCCGAAACCCGGUGAUCUAGCCAUGGGCAGGUUGAAGGUUGGGUAACACUAACUGGAGGACCGAACCGACUAAUGUUGAAAAAUUAGCGGAUGACUUGUGGCUGGGGGUGAAAGGCCAAUCAAACCGGGAGAUAGCUGGUUCUCCCCGAAAGCUAUUUAGGUAGCGCCUCGUGAAUUCAUCUUCGGGGGUAGAGCACUGUUUCGGCUAGGGGGUCAUCCCGACUUACCAACCCGAUGCAAACUACGAAUACCGAAGAAUGUUAUCACGGGAGACACACGGCGGGUGCUAACGUCCGUCGUGAAGAGGGAAACAACCCAGACCGCCAGCUAAGGUCCCAAAGUCAUGGUUAAGUGGGAAACGAUGUGGGAAGGCACAGACAGCCAGGAUGUUGGCUUAGAAGCAGCCAUCAUUUAAAGAAAGCGUAAUAGCUCACUGGUCGAGUCGGCCUGCGCGGAAGAUGUAACGGGGCUAAACCAUGCACCGAAGCUGCGGCAGCGACACUAUGUGUUGUUGGGUAGGGGAGCGUUCUGUAAGCCUGCGAAGGUGGCCUGUGAGGGGUGCUGGAGGUAUCAGAAGUGCGAAUGCUGACAUAAGUAACGAUAAAGCGGGUGAAAAGCCCGCUCGCCGGAAGACCAAGGGUUCCUGUCCAACGUUAAUCGGGGCAGGGUGAGUCGACCCCUAAGGCGAGGCCGAAAGGCGUAGUCGAUGGGAAACAGGUUAAUAUUCCUGUACUUGGUGUUACUGCGAAGGGGGGACGGAGAAGGCUAUGUUAGCCGGGCGACGGUUGUCCCGGUUUAAGCAUGUAGGCGGAGGUUCCAGGUAAAUCCGGUACCUUUUAACGCUGAGGUGUGAUGACGAGGCACUACGGUGCUGAAGUAACAAAUGCCCUGCUUCCAGGAAAAGCCUCUAAGCAUCAGGUAACAUUGAAUCGUACCCCAAACCGACACAGGUGGUCAGGUAGAGAAUACCAAGGCGCUUGAGAGAACUCGGGUGAAGGAACUAGGCAAAAUGGUGCCGUAACUUCGGGAGAAGGCACGCUGGUGUGUAGGUGAAGUCCCUGCGGACGGAGCUGAGACCAGUCGAAGAUACCAGCUGGCUGCAACUGUUUAUUAAAAACACAGCACUGUGCAAACACGAAAGUGGACGUAUACGGUGUGACGCCUGCCCGGUGCCGGAAGGUUAAUUGAUGGGGUUAUCCGUAAGGAGAAGCUCUUGAUCGAAGCCCCGGUAAACGGCGGCCGUAACUAUAACGGUCCUAAGGUAGCGAAAUUCCUUGUCGGGUAAGUUCCGACCUGCACGAAUGGCGUAAUGAUGGCCAGGCUGUCUCCACCCGAGACUCAGUGAAAUUGAACUCGCUGUGAAGAUGCAGUGUACCCGCGGCAAGACGGAAAGACCCCGUGAACCUUUACUAUAGCUUGACACUGAACAUUGAGCCUUGAUGUGUAGGAUAGGUGGGAGGCUUUGAAGCGUGGACGCCAGUCUGCGUGGAGCCAACCUUGAAAUACCACCCUUUAAUGUUUGAUGUUCUAACGUUGGCCCCUUAUCGGGGUUGCGGACAGUGUCUGGUGGGUAGUUUGACUGGGGCGGUCUCCUCCCAAAGAGUAACGGAGGAGCACGAAGGUUAGCUAAUCCUGGUCGGACAUCAGGAGGUUAGUGCAAUGGCAUAAGCUAGCUUGACUGCGAGCGUGACGGCGCGAGCAGGUGCGAAAGCAGGUCAUAGUGAUCCGGUGGUUCUGAAUGGAAGGGCCAUCGCUCAACGGAUAAAAGGUACUCCGGGGAUAACAGGCUGAUACCGCCCAAGAGUUCAUAUCGACGGCGGUGUUUGGCACCUCGAUGUCGGCUCAUCACAUCCUGGGGCUGAAGUAGGUCCCAAGGGUAUGGCUGUUCGCCAUUUAAAGUGGUACGCGAGCUGGGUUUAGAACGUCGUGAGACAGUUCGGUCCCUAUCUGCCGUGGGCGCUGGAGAAUUGAGGGGGGCUGCUCCUAGUACGAGAGGACCGGAGUGGACGCAUCACUGGUGUUCGGGUUGUCAUGCCAAUGGCACUGCCCGGUAGCUAAAUGCGGAAGAGAUAAGUGCUGAAAGCAUCUAAGCACGAAACUUGCCCCGAGAUGAGUUCUCCCUGAGACUUUAAGUCUCCUGAAGGAACGUUGAAGACGACGACGUUGAUAGGCCGGGUGUGUAAGCGCAGCGAUGCGUUGAGCUAACCGGUACUAAUGAACCGUGAGGCUUAACCUU